RNAcentral lists this ribosomal RNA (540 nucleotides) under uncultured bacterium. RNAcentral describes it as "partial 16S ribosomal RNA". It matches the Rfam family "Bacterial small subunit ribosomal RNA", at positions 355 to 888 of the family's 1533-position model. The record is from RNAcentral.
UGGGGAAUUUUGGACAAUGGGGGCAACCCUGAUCCAGCAAUGCCGCGUGUGUGAAGAAGGCCUUCGGGUUGUAAAGCACUUUUGUCCGGAAAGAAAUCCUUGGCUCUAAUACAGUCGGGGGAUGACGGUACCGGAAGAAUAAGCACCGGCUAACUACGUGCCAGCAGCCGCGGUAAUACGUAGGGUGCAAGCGUUAAUCGGAAUUACUGGGCGUAAAGCGUGCGCAGGCGGUUUGCUAAGACCGAUGUGAAAUCCCCGGGCUCAACCUGGGAACUGCAUUGGUGACUGGCAGGCUAGAGUAUGGCAGAGGGGGGUAGAAUUCCACGUGUAGCAGUGAAAUGCGUAGAGAUGUGGAGGAAUACCGAUGGCGAAGGCAGCCCCCUGGGCCAAUACUGACGCUCAUGCACGAAAGCGUGGGGAGCAAACAGGAUUAGAUACCCUGGUAGUCCACGCCCUAAACGAUGUCAACUAGUUGUUGGGGAUUCAUUUCCUUAGUAACGUAGCUAACGCGUGAAGUUGACCGCCUGGGGAGUACGGUCG